This is a long non-coding RNA of Neofelis nebulosa (Clouded leopard), 688 nucleotides long. RefSeq lists it as uncharacterized. The record is from RefSeq and is a predicted model, not a curated record. Lineage: Eukaryota; Metazoa; Chordata; Mammalia; Carnivora; Felidae. The transcript is spliced from 3 exons.
UAUAAAAUCAUGUAACGAUGUUAUAAAUAGGUAUUUUCUUUAGUUACAUUCUGCCCUAGCAGAGAAGAAAUUAGUAAAGUAUCUCUUUGAAUGUCUAACAGCUUUUUAAGAAAAGAAAAAAAGGCUGGAAUGAAUUAGUCUCCUAGAACAAAGAGUAGUUACCAAUCUGCCUCGUGCCUCAUUCAUUCAGUCCUCACAUCAGAUCCCUCAUUCCGAUUUCCACCUCUCAAUUCUAGAACUAUCACUGCCUAUCAAAAGAUUAAAGAACAAGAAAGUACUGAAAAAAUGUGUGACUAUCCUCUAGAUUCAAGAACUUUGCAGAUGAAAUUUUACCUCUGGGAGGGAUGGCUUUGUUUCCUCUCUGACCCCUGCAGUACAGAAUGGGACUCCCAACUGGCAAAUUCCUUCUAAUUAAUAGGCUUCAAAAAAUGGAACAUCGAGUUGGAAUCAACAGUGACUGAAAACCUAAGCAAGUAAAAGUAAUCAAGCAUCAACGGUGAUCAGAAAGUAAAUACACAAGACACAGAAGAGACAGGAUACAAAAGUUCCCCUCAAAUCAGGAACCGCAGCCUUGUGGCAACAUUACCAAAAGGGCCUUUCGCUGUCAUUUGUUUUUAUACCACCUCAAAUAAUAUGUUAAUAUAAGAUGUACGAGUGCAAAAAAAAAAUCAGCGUACAUUAUUACAGA